RNAcentral lists this ribosomal RNA (253 nucleotides) under uncultured bacterium. RNAcentral's name for it is "partial 16S ribosomal RNA". It matches the Rfam family "Bacterial small subunit ribosomal RNA", at positions 524 to 776 of the family's 1533-position model. The record is from RNAcentral.
GACGAACCAAGCGAACGUUAUUCGGAAUCACUGGGCUUAAAGGGCGCGUAGGCGGGCGGUCAAGUCGAGGGUGAAAUCCCCCAGCUCAACUGGGGAAGUGCCUCCGAUACUGGCCGUCUCGAGGGGGAUAGGGGCGUGCGGAACUUCCGGUGGAGCGGUGAAAUGCGUAGAUAUCGGAAGGAACACCGGUGGCGAAAGCGGCGCGCUGGAUCCCUUCUGACGCUGAGGCGCGAAAGCCAGGGGAGCGAACGGG